AGUAACUUGCAUGCACUAAAAGAGUAAAUAUCUUAGAAUGGAUCUGGUUCUCUUCCUAUUUCUUCAUGUAUUUCUGUGUAGAGUUUGUCUCCUCCCUCAUCUCUUCUUGAAGUGUGAAACGCAGGAAGUGUCUGGUUUAGUUAAACCAGUCUGUUAAUGUGUCAGUAUGGGCUCCAGUGCACUGUCUCUCACACUCUUGCUGAUGUCCUUCAUCCACUCUGGACUCACUCAAGAUUCACCCAGAUCUACUCUGACUGUGACUCCAGACAGUCCUGUAUUCACUGGAGAGAGAGUGAGUCUGACGUGUGUGAUAACACCUUAUUACAGUGACUGGAGAUAUG
Cyprinus carpio (common carp) is the source of this 341-nucleotide long non-coding RNA. RefSeq lists it as uncharacterized. NCBI's taxonomy places the organism in Eukaryota, Metazoa, Chordata, Actinopteri, Cypriniformes, Cyprinidae. The record is from RefSeq and is a predicted model, not a curated record. The transcript has 3 exons.